AGAUGCCAGGGUCAAAAAUCAUAAACUACGUUGUGCUUGCACAUAAGUGGUUUUAUGACUUUAUGACUCGCCCCGAUAUGAGGGUACUGCGUGCCGGUGGCACGCGUUUAGCACCGACCGCAACGGAGUGUAGAACAAAGUGGGGCGUAUGCCUCACGAUAUCCGAAUUUGGGGCAGAAUUGUGGGGUGCUGCGUGCCAGUGGCACGCGUUUAGCACCGACCGAAGUGAAACGUAGAUGCGCAGCACGAAACAAUUCGCCAGGCAUCU
RNAcentral lists this small RNA (268 nucleotides) under Firmicutes bacterium CAG:646. RNAcentral describes it as "Clostridiales-1 RNA". It matches the Rfam family "Clostridiales-1 RNA". Lineage: Bacteria; Bacillati; Bacillota. The record is from Rfam by way of RNAcentral.